GAGCGUAGUUUAAUGGUAGAAUAAUGGCCUUCCAAGCUGCAGGCGUGGGUUCGAUUCCCGCCGCUC
This 66-nucleotide transfer RNA is filed under the name Bigelowiella longifila. It matches the Rfam family "tRNA". Rfam says of the family: Transfer RNA (tRNA) molecules are approximately 80 nucleotides in length. Their secondary structure includes four short double-helical elements and three loops (D, anti-codon, and T loops). Further hydrogen bonds mediate the characteristic L-shaped molecular structure. tRNAs have two regions of fundamental functional importance: the anti-codon, which is responsible for specific mRNA codon recognition, and the 3' end, to which the tRNAs corresponding amino acid is attached (by aminoacyl-tRNA synthetases). tRNAs cope with the degeneracy of the genetic code in two manners: having more than one tRNA (with a specific anti-codon) for a particular amino acid; and 'wobble' base-pairing, i.e. permitting non-standard base-pairing at the 3rd anti-codon position. The record is from RNAcentral. Lineage: Eukaryota; Cercozoa; Chlorarachniophyceae.